UUGAGCCGUAUGAGUGCGAAAGUCUCAUGUACGGUUCUUAGGGGAGGGGAGAGCGGUAACGCUCAAACCUUACCCGAC
Molecule: non-coding RNA, 78 nt
Organism: Tolypothrix bouteillei VB521301
Lineage: Bacteria; Bacillati; Cyanobacteriota; Cyanophyceae; Nostocales; Tolypothrichaceae
Source: Rfam